UUAGAGCCGAGUGGCGAACGGGUGAGUAACGCGUGAAUAACCUGCCUAUAAGUUGGGGACAACCAUUCUAACGGAUGGCUAAUACCGAAUAUCAUUAUUAAUCCGCAUGGAUAUAUAAUUAAAGGCCUUCGGGUCGCUUAUAGAUGGAUUCGCGUACUAUUAGUUAGUUGGUGAGGUAAUGGCUCACCAAGACAGUGAUAGUUAGCCGGCCUGAGAGGGUGAUCGGCCACAUUGGGACUGAGAUACGGCCCAGACUCC
RNAcentral lists this ribosomal RNA (258 nucleotides) under uncultured bacterium. Its description in RNAcentral is "partial 16S ribosomal RNA". It matches the Rfam family "Bacterial small subunit ribosomal RNA", at positions 85 to 339 of the family's 1533-position model. The record is from RNAcentral.